CAUGUAGGCGGCUUAAUAAGUCGAGCGUGAAAAUGCGGGGCUCAACCCCGUAUGGCGCUGGAAACUGUUAGGCUUGAGUGCAGGAGAGGAAAGGGGAAUUCCCAGUGUAGCGGUGAAAUGCGUAGAUAUUGGGAGGAACACCAGUGGCGAAGGCGCCUUUCUGGACUGUGUCUGACGCUGAGAUGCGAAAGCCAGGGUAGCAACG
Molecule: ribosomal RNA, 205 nt
Filed under: uncultured bacterium
Lineage: Bacteria
Description: partial 16S ribosomal RNA
Rfam family: Bacterial small subunit ribosomal RNA
Source: RNAcentral